RNAcentral lists this long non-coding RNA (1184 nucleotides) under Homo sapiens (human). RNAcentral describes it as "SLC2A9 antisense RNA 1, transcript variant 1 (SLC2A9-AS1)". The record is from RNAcentral. Lineage: Eukaryota; Metazoa; Chordata; Mammalia; Primates; Hominidae.
AGCUGGGGAGCUACCACAACAGACGGAAGAACCAGAUCCAAUGAUAUGUGUAAGAAGAAUAAUUUCAGUGCAAUUGAAAGAACAGAUGCACAAUUGACUCUGUCAAGUGAUGGAAUGACCCGUCUCAAAUAAAGCCAAUGAGAGUUGCUCUUCAAGCUGAAACUUCAGCCCAAAUCAACUUUUACUCUCAUAAUGAUGAAAAGGAAACUGGCAGCUGCUUGGGGCAUAACAACCAACACAUCCUUUGAUCUGAUCUUUUUCUGCAUCCUCACUUCUUUAUGACUCCUCCAUUACUUAGAGAUUGAAGGCUGGAGUGCAGUGGCAUGAUCACAGCUCACUGCAGAUUUGAUCCCCUGGGGUCAGGAGGUCCUGGUACUUCAGCCUCCCGAGUAGCUGAGACAGACGACUACAGGGGAGAAGAGGAGACAUGGAAUGAAGAUUGGUUGACUGCUAAGUAUGUAUCAGACAUUUGGAUAUCUCAUCUCAUUCAACCCUUGUAGCCAUCCUGAGAAGUUUCAUUCACAACAGAGAAGUCUGGAGUGGAGAAACACAUCCCACAGCCAUGCCAAAGAUGGUAGAACUGCAGGGCCUGCUAGACCUCACAGUGCUCUCCUCUUCCUGGACAUACUGCCAGGCCACCUUACCCAGUUCCUUGCAUCUAGGUGGGGCCAUAUGACUACUUCUCAAGCAAGGAGUGUAAGUACAAGGGACAUGUGUGACCUCCACCAAGACGCUGAGAAUGUGUUUGCCUGCUCCACGCUUGCUCCUGUCAGCUGGCCAGCCACAGAGGAUCUAGCAGAGGACUCCAAAGUCCUAGAGAAUGGUGGAACCACUUCACUUAAGGAACCUGGGUCCCUGAAUGGCUUCAUGGAGCAGAGUGUUCCUGCUCAUCUCCUUCAAAUGAGGUGAUAUAAAUGGGAAUUUUCACUGUGUUAAGCCACUGAGAUACAGGGCUUGUUUAUUACAGCAGCAAGUUUGCCCUGCUGACACAAUCAACGUAACUACAGAGCCCAUGCCAUCACAAUUGCACUGUGACCUGAGGCUUCAAGAAGGAGGAGAGAUUUAGGCCAAGUCAUGAAGGCUUGGAGAUAUAAACCUUUACCUAGAGCUUUCCUUUUAUGUGUUGGGAGAACUCGAUCCUGUUUGAAGAAAACAAUCUGCAAUAAAAAUUUGCUUUAAGAUCA